GACUGACCUGCUCCAGCUGGGACUUAACUGUGAAUGUUUGGGAAUAGAAUCCAGUUGGCCAGGUUUGGAUCAGAUGCCUUUCCCUGAUCCCAUUGCUUUGCCGGGUAGGAAGGCUCUCAUCCCUAUAGAUCAAGGGGCAGUUUCCAGAGGAAAGAGCAGUCGUUGUGAACAGCGCUGAUGCUAGAAGAACAUCCACAGCUCUGGUACGUUGGGACCUUCUCAACAACAGUGUUAGUGUCAGUGGAUGGACUUCAGUGCUCAGUGGGAGACAGCAGCAGGAGCCAGAGGAGGCAGCGGGACUUGCUCAGCAGACGCAAACAUACUCAGAAGGAGGGGAAGUCACAUUCAUCAAACGCUUUUGGGCCCUAAGGCAGCUGAGGUACCUAAAGAACACAGCAUCGUAGCCCAGCAUUCUACAUCAUCUCUGGGAGCUGUUAGUUCCUAUUGAGGAGGGGAGACAAGAAAGGCUUAAAGAUGAGAUGGAUACGAGAAUCAUCUCUAUGGUUUGGAAAUGAGUGGUUUUUAAAAAAUUUAUUUUUAAAGAAGAUUAGCCCAGAGCUAACAUUUGCCACCAAUCCUCCUCUUUUUGCCGAGGAAGACCGACCCUGAGCUAACAUCUGUGUCCAUCUUCUUCCUCGUUUUUAUAUGUGGGAUGCCUGCCACAGCGUGGCUCAACAAGCAGUGCAUAAGUCCACACUCAGGAUCCAAACUGGCGAAACCUGGGCCACGGAAGCAGAACAUGUGAACUUAACCGCUGCACCACUGGGCUGGCCCCAAGAAACCGAUGGUUUUGAAUUGCAUUCUAUGCUCUGGGAAGAACAUUUGGUGAAGUCGCCACAGAGCAAUAUUAGUAAGUGCUGUGUGUCUUCUUUCUCAUAAAUGUCUUCAUUACAAGAUCAUGUAACUGGUACUUCACUAGAGCUUGCUCUGAUGGGUCUCUUCAGCUAAUAAAUCACAUCAUGUUAUGAUUUUCAACUAAUAUAGAGUUAUAAUUCAUCCUGCUCAAUUCAGCUAUGUUUUGGAGGGUAGGUAUGGGAGGGAUAAAAAAAAAAAAAAACAAAUGUUUUUCUUACUCUUUUUCAACUUUCCCAUUUAGUGGUAAAUUUGCUAUCAAAACUUUUGUUGGAAUCCAUCCCAGUCUCAGGUCUUGACACACAGGUCAUGAAAGACUAAGAAAGCAUUAUCACUCUUAGCUGCAAUCCUUUACAGGCAAGUGCAAGAAAGCCAAGAUCUAAAUUCCAGUUUAGAGUCAACGUAACAUUCCACAAAUCCAUGCCAAGAUAAAGGUGGAAAGAUCAAUACUUCUGCUACUCUUUCUGAGGAAGACAGAAACUAAUGGUAGUGGUUCCCAAACUUGUUCACAUUAGAAUCACCUGUCAAAAUUCCAAAACAAGGCCAUAGCUCAGACCAGUCAGUCACAAUCUUUGGGGACAGUUCACAGGAAUUUGUAGUUUUUGAAGCUCCCCCAGGCGAUCUCAAUGUGAAGAUAAAAUUUGGGAACCAUUCAUUUGACAUCACAGAAUUUGCUUUAAUUUAACUGGGGCCAUUGCCCAAGUUUCAAUCCAGGUGUUGGAAAUAUUCCAUCUCCUUUUAGGAAAGGGCGAUCCUCUGAUAAUGAAAAUAUCUGUUUUAUGGUCAACUUAUGGGUACAAAUGAGGCCAGAGAGGUCUCUGUGGUUACUUUGUCUUAAUGAAUGUGAUUUACAGCUGAAAGUAAAAUUGCUCUUUAUGAAAGCCAGGAAAAGUCAACCCAUCCAUCAAGGUCUUCUCCAAUGCGUCUAAUAAUUAUACAGGACAAAUAGGAAAAUACAUGAGAUCAUUUUACAACAGAAGAAAUGAUUUUAAUAUAUAUUUUUAAUGCUUUGUGAUUGAUUCUUAUUUUUGAUUUAAGAUUAUGUUUAUGUAAUAUAAUUAUUAAAAUCCAGCAACAAUCACAAAUGUAAAUCAGGAAGUAAUUUUUGUCAAUUUUAAUUAAGUUAAUAAUUUUAUUGUGAGUUGAUUUUAUUAAUUACCUAAUUCUUUGUAAUUAAGGUAAUUAAUAAAAACUUUAAUGCAUUUAAAUAGUCC
Equus asinus (donkey) is the source of this 2066-nucleotide long non-coding RNA. Lineage: Eukaryota; Metazoa; Chordata; Mammalia; Perissodactyla; Equidae. The record is from Ensembl.